GGGCGUGUGGUCUAGUGGUAUGAUUCUCGCUUUGGGCGACUCACCAGUUCACUGGUGGGAAAAAACAAGCAUGCGAGAGGCCCUGGGUUCAAUUCCCAGCUCGCCCC
Suhomyces tanzawaensis NRRL Y-17324 is the source of this 107-nucleotide non-coding RNA. Lineage: Eukaryota; Fungi; Ascomycota; Pichiomycetes; Serinales; Debaryomycetaceae. The record is from the annotation of a RefSeq genome assembly.